AAGGGCCCUGAUCACGAAACACAGGAACAAAAUGAAUCUGGAGAGUUUGAUCCUGGCUCAGAACGAACGCUGGCGGCGUGCCUAACACAUGCAAGUCCAACGUGAAAGGGGAGCAAUCCCCCGGUAGGGUGGCAAACGGGUGAGUAAUACAUGGGUGAUCUACCUUAGGGAUGGGGAUAUCCUUCCGAAAGGAGGGGCAAUACCGAAUAUUGUCCGGAGCCGUGAAGGGUUCCGGGGAAAGGGAGGCCUCUGAUACAAGCUUUCGCCUUAAGAUGAGCCCAUGGCCCAUCAGCUAGUUGGUAGGGUAAAGGCCUACCAAGGCUACGACGGGUCGCUGGUCUGAGAGGACGACCAGCCACACCUGGCACUGAGAUACGGGCCAGACUCCUACGGGAGGCAGCAGUGAGGAAUAUUGCGCAAUGGGGGAAACCCUGACGCAGCAACGCCGCGUGUGGGAAGAAGGCCUUCGGGUC
Molecule: ribosomal RNA, 473 nt
Filed under: uncultured bacterium
Lineage: Bacteria
Description: bacterial SSU rRNA
Rfam family: Bacterial small subunit ribosomal RNA
Source: RNAcentral